Molecule: ribosomal RNA, 464 nt
Filed under: uncultured bacterium
Lineage: Bacteria
Description: partial 16S ribosomal RNA
Rfam family: Bacterial small subunit ribosomal RNA
Source: RNAcentral
GACGAACGCUGGCGGCGUGCUUAACACAUGCAAGUCGAACGGAAAGGCCCUGCUUGCAGGGUCCUCGAGUGGCGAACGGGUGAGUAACACGUGGGUGAUCUGCCCUGCACUUCGGGAUAAGCCUGGGAAACUGGGACUAAUACCUGAUAGGAGCCAUUUCUUGCGUGUUGGUUGGAAAGUUUUUUCGGUGUGGGAUGAGUGCGUGGCCUAUCAGCUUGUUGGCGGGUUAAUGGCCUACCAAGGCGGCGACGGGUAGCCGGCCUGCGGGGGUGGACGGCCACCAUGGUACUGCGAGACGCAGCAGUCGCCAACGGGAGGCAGCAGUGGGAAGUAUGACACAGUGGGCGCAAGCCUGAGGCAGAGACGCCGCGUGGGGAAAGACGGCCUUCGGGUAGUAAACAGCUUUCGCUAGGGACGAAGCUUUUGUGACGGUACCUAAAUAAGAAGCACCGGCUAACUACGUG